GACGAACGCUGGCGGCGUGCUUAACACAUGCAAGUCGAACGGAAAGGCCCUGCUUUUGUGGGGUGCUCGAGUGGCGAACGGGUGAGUAACACGUGAGUAACCUGCCCUUGACUUUGGGAUAACUUCAGGAAACUGGGGCUAAUACCGGAUAGGAGCUCCUGCUGCAUGGUGGGGGUUGGAAAGUUUCGGCGGUUGGGGAUGGACUCGCGGCUUAUCAGCUUGUUGGUGGGGUAGUGGCUUACCAAGGCUUUGACGGGUAGCCGGCCUGAGAGGGUGACCGGCCACAUUGGGACUGAGAUACGGCCCAGACUCCUACGGGAGGCAGCAGUGGGGAAUAUUGCACAAUGGGCGGAAGCCUGAUGCAGCAACGCCGCGUGCGGGUUGACGGCCUUCGGGUUGUAAACCGUUUUCGCCUGUGACGAAGCGUGAGUGACGGUAAUGGGUAAAGAAGCACCGGCUAACUACGUG
Molecule: ribosomal RNA, 468 nt
Filed under: uncultured bacterium
Lineage: Bacteria
Description: partial 16S ribosomal RNA
Rfam family: Bacterial small subunit ribosomal RNA
Source: RNAcentral